Molecule: ribosomal RNA, 468 nt
Filed under: uncultured bacterium
Lineage: Bacteria
Description: partial 16S ribosomal RNA
Rfam family: Bacterial small subunit ribosomal RNA
Source: RNAcentral
GACGAACGCUGGCGGCGUGCUUAACACAUGCAAGUCGAACGGAAAGGCCCUGCUUUUGUGGGGUGCUCGAGUGGCGAACGGGUGAGUAACACGUGAGUAACCUGCCCUUGACUUUGGGAUAACUUCAGGAAACUGGGGCUAAUACCGGAUAGGAGCUCCUGCUGCAUGGUGGGGGUUGGACAGUUUCGGCGGUUGGGGAUGGACUCGCGGCUUAUCAGCUUGUUGGUGGGGUAGUGGCUUACCAAGGCUUUGACGGGUAGCCGGCCUGAGAGGGUGACCGGCCACAUUGGGACUGAGAUACGGCCCAGACUCCUACGGGAGGCAGAAGUGGGGAAUAUUGCACAAUGGGCGGAAGCGUGAUGCAGCAACGCCGCGUGCGGGAUGAAGGCCUUCGGGUUGUAAACCGCUUUCGCCUGUGACGAAGCGUGAGUGACGGUAAUGGGUAAAGAAGCACCGGCUAACUACGUG